Molecule: ribosomal RNA, 253 nt
Filed under: uncultured bacterium
Lineage: Bacteria
Description: partial 16S ribosomal RNA
Rfam family: Bacterial small subunit ribosomal RNA
Source: RNAcentral
UACGUAGGGGGCUAGCGUUGUCCGGAAUCAUUGGGCGUAAAGCGCGCGUAGGCGGCCCGGUAAGUCCGUUGUGAAAGUCAAAGGCUCAACCUUUGAAAGCCGAUGGAUACUGCCGGGCUGGAGUCCGGAAGAGGCGAGUGGAAUUCCUGGUGUAGCGGUGGAAUACGCAGAUAUCAGGAGGAACACCAAUAGCGAAGGCAGCUCGCUGGGACGGUACUGACGCUGAGGCGCGAAAGCGUGGGGAGCGAACAGG